Molecule: ribosomal RNA, 253 nt
Filed under: uncultured bacterium
Lineage: Bacteria
Description: partial 16S ribosomal RNA
Rfam family: Bacterial small subunit ribosomal RNA
Source: RNAcentral
UACGUAGGGACCAAGCGUUGUUCGGAUUUACUGGGCGUAAAGGGCGCGUAGGCGGCAAUUCAAGUCAGCUGUGAAAUCUCCGGGCUUAACUCGGAACGGUCAGCUGAUACUGCUUUGCUAGAGUGCAGAAGGGGCAAUCGGAAUUCUUGGUGUAGCGGUGAAAUGCGUAGAUAUCAAGAGGAAGACCAGUGGCGAAGGCGGGUCUCUGGACAGUUCCUGACACUGAGACACGAAGGCCAGGGGAGCAAACGGG